UUCCUCUCACUGUCCUCUGUCUACUAACACAUUCAGUUUGUGUGUCUCUGUCUCUUCCUCUCACUGUCCCCUGUCUACUAACACAUUCAGUGUGUGAAUUCUUGCUCCAUCAGGCCUGCCACAGCUAUCCAUACCAAACCAAACAGAAUGAGAUUUACAUGAAAAUGCAUUUAUUUCCUAAAAAAUACCACAGAUUUCAAUUAGAGAGAGGAAUGCUUGUGCACUACUGGUGAUGAUUAAAACUGUGAGUUGGAGUAACUGUGUAUAAUACACUCUUAUUACAAUAAACUAGUCUGGCAAAGUUUAAGGAGGGGCCAGAGCAGAAGGAGGAGCCUGAACCAAAGGAGGGGCCAGAGCAGAAGGAGGGUCUGGAAUGAGAGCCAACGUGGCGGAAGCCUGCGUGAUCCAGUCCAGAUAGCCCUUCAGGUCUUCCUCAAGUUGCUGCUUCUCCCGCAGCUUCUGGAAGUCUCCCCGAGCCUUCGCCUUCUCACGCUCCUUAGAGAACUCGCUGGGUGCUGCCAGGACCGAAAGGACAAAUUUCGGCUUGAGCUAGCUGUGAGAUCUACGGUCUCCAUGGGGAGGGAGAGGAUGACGUGAGGGAAGAGAGCGCGACGAGAAAGAGUGCAGACAGGGAGAGCCAUAAUUCUACUGAAUCGUCAUCCUCUCCUGAAAACAUGGCAGACCAGCUGGGAAACACUGAACUAUAAGCACCGCUGAAGCACCUCACACAGCCUGCACUACUGAAUUCUCAUGUCUACACAAUUGGACCUUCCGUCACAUUCUUUAAAUUCACUUUGCACACUGAAAUAUAUACACUGUAAAUUGUGUCUUGUUUGCUCCCCCCAUUGUAUAUUUAUCCUUAAUGUUACUACGUACAUUCUAUUAAUUGCAAUGUUCUUGCCCCAUGCCUUGUGUAUUUAUUCCAUAGUUGUUAGUAAUGUCAGUGCUCACAGAGCUUUACUCUGUUGAGCAGUUUGAACAUACUAAAGCAAGUUCCUGUACUAGCAAUUAAAAGUGAUUCUGGU
This is a non-coding RNA of Electrophorus electricus (electric eel), 1025 nucleotides long. The record is from RefSeq and is a predicted model, not a curated record. NCBI's taxonomy places the organism in Eukaryota, Metazoa, Chordata, Actinopteri, Gymnotiformes, Gymnotidae.